Molecule: ribosomal RNA, 438 nt
Filed under: Triticum aestivum (bread wheat)
Lineage: Eukaryota; Viridiplantae; Streptophyta; Magnoliopsida; Poales; Poaceae
Description: partial small subunit ribosomal RNA
Source: RNAcentral
AUGACUAGGGAUAACCUUAGGAAGAGACAUAUCAUCAAACCCCUUGAUUGUGUUUACUGCUUGGAACAAGAUUCUUGUUCUCACCUAUUUUUUGAAUGUAUAGUUGCUAAACAUCUCUGGGCCCACAUUGAGGAAUAUUUCUCUAGUCAGAUUGGCUCAUCCUUCGAAUCUGUCGCCAGAUUCUGGAUUGCAACCAAAAAGUGCUCAGUUUUAAACACUGUUAGCUCAGCUGUCCUUUGGUGCCUCUGGAAAUAUAGAAAUGCUAUGAUUUUUAGUAACACCUCCUGGAUUUCCAUUCCGCGGGUCUUGAGGUUGAUCAGGAACAUGGUGAGGAACUGGGCGAUUCUCUCCUCCGGAUUGGACACGGACAAGUUGAUGAGCUUCGUGGAAACCCUAACAAGAUCCCUCCAGAAACCGUUGGCGAUCACUUGUGGCUGA